This is a small nuclear RNA of Telopea speciosissima, 195 nucleotides long. RefSeq annotates it as U2 spliceosomal RNA. Lineage: Eukaryota; Viridiplantae; Streptophyta; Magnoliopsida; Proteales; Proteaceae. The record is from RefSeq and is a predicted model, not a curated record. The transcript has a single exon.
AAAGUUUUCCCGGCUUUUUGCUUAAGAUCAAGUGUAGUAUUUGUUUUAUCAGUUUAAUAUCUGAUACGUGGAUCAUUGAUCCAGAGGAUAUUAAAUUAAUGUAUUUUGGGGGAGGGCCCACCACAGUGGCUUGCUACUGGGGUCUUCAGGUGUCGCCCAUGCGUUGUACUACUGCACGGGCUUGGCGUACCCCUA